RNAcentral lists this long non-coding RNA (1561 nucleotides) under Eutrema salsugineum. RNAcentral's name for it is "long non-coding RNA (ESAL_LNC000108)". The record is from RNAcentral. Lineage: Eukaryota; Viridiplantae; Streptophyta; Magnoliopsida; Brassicales; Brassicaceae.
UUCAUUUCAAGACAAAGGGUUUGGUUGGUUUAAUUGCAAAAGCGUCUAAAGAAUAUAGGGUAUCUGAAUUUGAGAGGCGAUUCAAUGAUAUUCGCAACAUUAGUCCGCUCGUUGCAAAAUACUUGAUGGAGGCUGGUGCGGAAAAGUGGGCGCGAUGCAAGUUUUCUGGAUUCAGAUAUGACAUUCGAACCACUAACCCAGCUGAGUCGAUGAAUUCUGUUCUGUUAGCACCCAGAGAGUUUCCUGUCAUUCCUUUGUUGGACAACGGUUGUUAAUUUUAUCAAUUUCCGGUUCACUUCCUGGCGUAAAAAAUCGUUUAGGCAAGUCCAUAUCCAAUCCUGCGAAUAAGAAAUAAAAGAUUACGGAAAUGAGUAGCCCAAACCACGAAAUUCCAUGGACAAGGAAACAAAAAAAAAAAUCAAAACCAGAAGAAAUUGACGACAAAGAAACGAUCUUAUCUUGAGACCGGAACGUGAACUAAACACAAAGCCACAAAAACUCAUAAACUCGAUUGGCUCAUAGAGCCUGGCUGAGAAACUCAUAAACUCGAUUGGAUGAGAAACCACCUAUGUAUAGAGACUGGUACAAAGCUAAUAAACAACUUCAUAGUAACACAGUACUCAGAAACAAAUGAAACUCAAGUGAUAUCAACAACAGCAACAACAAAUCCAACGAUGACCCUUGUAGAAAAAAAGAAAAAAAAAACACUAUAAGAUGUUGAUUCAUGCUUUAGAAUGAAGAAAAUACAGUGAAACAGCAUUAUUAUUCUGAGGGGAAAACAAAAGCAAACAAAAAACAAAAACAAAAAAAGGCUCAAGUCUAAAGUCUAAGUGCCAUUAUCGCUUAUUCAAUUCUAAAGUCUAAGUGCCAUUAUCCUGGGGAAAACGACCAAAAACAAAUAAAAGGUAUAAGAAGUAAAAAAAACAGGCUUUUAAAAGAGUCUCUACGUGAUUAGAAUAUGCAUUUGUGAAUUGGAUUCAAAGUUUGACCACUCUUAAACUCAAUACAUACAGGUAUACACAAAUAACUACAAUUACUGAAGGACAAAACAAAGAUGCAAAGUGCACGAUUUGAUGAGAGGAAAAAUGUGGGAGAAUCAUAUAUCUAAGUAAAGAUCUCUCAUAAACCUCAAAACAAACAGCAUGAAGUCGUAUUUUCUCAUAAGUCUCAAAACAAAUUAUGUUUCUUUUCUUUACUAUGCCAUUAUAAGUUUGCGUAAAUUAUUUUUCCUGCAGCUGUUAAGAAAUUAAGUAAUGAAAACUACAAUGAAUCUCAUACACAAUGAAUUUCGUUAAUCAAUUAGAUGGGUCGGUCGAUAUUUUGAGAGCAUCAGAAUACUUCGCAAAACCCAGAAAUCAACAACUCUACAUAAUCCCAAUUCAACAAAUCAAUAUUCCAAAACCCAGAAAACACAAUCAAUUUGGGAUUACACAAACCCUAACAGUUGAAAGAUUGAAACAAAAUAAGAGGACGACGCGACUUACCGGAGUGAAGGUCCACCGAAGACUACACCGGAGGAGAAGAAGACCGGAGGAGAAGAAGUCAGCGGCGAAAGUUUUUU